RNAcentral lists this ribosomal RNA (547 nucleotides) under uncultured prokaryote. RNAcentral describes it as "bacterial SSU rRNA". It matches the Rfam family "Bacterial small subunit ribosomal RNA", at positions 355 to 896 of the family's 1533-position model. The record is from RNAcentral.
UGGGGAAUUUUGGACAAUGGGGGCAACCCUGAUCCAGCAAUGCCGCGUGAGUGAAGAAGGCCUUCGGGUUGUAAAGCUCUUUUGUCAGGGAAGAAACACCGGCUCUAACACAGUCCGGGAAUGACGGUACCUGAAGAAUAAGCACCGGCUAACUACGUGCCAGCAGCCGCGGUAAUACGUAGGGUGCAAGCGUUAAUCGGAAUUACUGGGCGUAAAGCGUGCGCAGGCGGUUAUACAAGACAGGCGUGAAAUCCCCGGGCUUAACCUGGGAAUGGCGCCUGUGACUGUAUAGCUAGAGUGUGUCAGAGGGGGGUAGAAUUCCACGUGUAGCAGUGAAAUGCGUAGAUAUGUGGAGGAAUACCAAUGGCGAAGGCAGCCCCCUGGGAUAACACUGACGCUCAUGCACGAAAGCGUGGGGGGCAAACAGGAUUAGAUACCCUGGUAGUCCACGCCCUAAACGAUGCUGACUAGUUGUUCGGGAUUUACAUCCUGAGUAACGUAGCUAACGCGUGAAGUCAGCCGCCUGGGGAGUACGGUCGCAAGAUUA